RNAcentral lists this transfer RNA (499 nucleotides) under Coleofasciculus chthonoplastes GNP5. Its description in RNAcentral is "16S-23S ribosomal RNA intergenic spacer". The stretch from base 211 to 283 matches the Rfam family "tRNA". The record is from RNAcentral. Lineage: Bacteria; Bacillati; Cyanobacteriota; Cyanophyceae; Coleofasciculales; Coleofasciculaceae.
UUUAUAGGGAGACCAAGUGAGACAAUCAGACCCAAGUAGAUAACUGAUUGAUUUCACCAUCCCAGGUCGGUCAAGGAACAAGUAGAUUGGCUUUCAAACUGAUUCGGUUCGGGAAAUGGGCUAUUAGCUCAGGUGGUUAGAGCGCACCCCUGAUAAGGGUGAGGUCCCUGGUUCGAGUCCAGGAUGGCCCACCUGUUCUGUUCAGGAAGAGGGGGUAUAGCUCAGCUGGUAGAGCGCUGCCUUUGCAAGGCAGAUGUCAGCGGUUCGAGUCCGCUUACCUCCAUCCUUCCCCAAGAGGCGAGCUGGUGAAGCCCAAGAACCGAGAAAAAAGCGUUCAGCACCUAGAGAAGUUAACCAACCAGAAACUUAACUUACUCAGACUGCUGAACGUUACCGUUCAGUCAGAACCUUGAAAACUGCAUAGCGAGAAACAAGUCAGGAAUGAAAACACAAUGCCAAAAAAAGGCGUUUGUGUCUUCAUCAGACAAAAGAUAUAGAU